AUAGUACUGCAGGACCAUUCUGUUCUCAGGAUAUGAAUUUUUAGGUAUUUGUGGAAGCCCACUCACCCAAAAGGGAGUGGGCUUGUGUUUCAAAGUAUAGCCCUCUGGGCCUAUACUAAAGACAAAAAGACUCUCUUUCAAACCGUGACUGUCAAAUCUGGCUUACUGAUAUUUGCUUUGAAUUUGUAUGUUAUUUCUGAAAUACCGUCUCUCACAGGACACAGAAUAUGCUGCAAAGAAUUUGCUUCAUGCCAAGACAUAGUGCCUCCACGCAGAAACCCUGAGAAACAAAAGAAUGAGAACCUUGUCUCUGGGGUCAAUAAAUCUAAGCUUUGUUGGCACCAAAUGGGACACUCCAGUGAUUCUCAAGCAAGCUAGCUUGGGCUUCAUCACAUUGACAAAGGAUAGAGACCCAAGAGAGAUAGAUGACUGCAAAGACCUCUCGAGGCCUCAGCUCAGAACAUGCAAUCAUCACUUCCAUCAAAUUCUACUGGCAAAGCAAGUCACAAAGCCAGUCCAAAUUUAUAGGUGGGGAAAUGGACUUCACCUCCUGACAAGAGAAGAUGCAAAGUCACUUUGAAAAAGGUAUUAAUGGCCAGGAGCGGUGGCUCAUGCCUGUAAUCCCAGCACUUUGGGAGGCUGAGGUGGGUGGAUCACCUGAAGUCGGGAGUUUGAGACCAGCCUGACCAACAUGGAGAAACCCCGUCUCUACUAAAAAUACAAAAAUUAGCCAGGUGUGGUGACACAUGUCUGUAAUCCCAGCUACUCUGGAGGCUUAGGCAGGAGAAUCGCUUGAACCUGGGAGGCAGAGGUUGCAGUGAGUCGAGAUCACAUCAUUGCACUCCAGCCUGGGCAACAAGAGUGAAACUCCAUCUCAAAAAAAAAAGGUAUUAAUGCAGAGAGGGGUGGAUAAUAAGGAGCAUUUUUGCAAUAUACCAUAGUACCAUAUUUUCUCAUUUUAAAUGUCCUCUACCAUAAUGAUGUAACAGAAUCAAAAAGCUUGUCUGCCCCUCUGGGUACCAGCCCAACAACUGUUUUUGGUUUUGGUUUUUAAUUUUUUCUGUUCUAUACACAAAAGUUAUUAGAAUUCUCAGGAGACUUCUAGAAUAACAACAAAAAAACUGGGAAUCAUUGUUGAGUGUAGCCUGACCUCUUAUGCAGGAACAAAAUACACUGGACUGUAGCUAAUGAUUUCUUUUGGAAGUCACUUAGAUAGCUCAACUAAAGCUAUAAUGUUCCACCAAGGAACAGUUUUCAAGUUCGUACAUUUUAUGCAUGCUUAUUAAACAUAUUUUAUUCAUGUACAUAUAUAUAUAAGUAACCAUAUUCAGUACAACAGCACAAAUAUAUAAUCAAUAUAAAAGCCAAAAAAAAUCAACAGAAAAUCAAUAUUUUGUGCUUGGCCAAAAUAACCAUUGAUAAGGUCCUGGAAUAAAGAAGAAUGCUUGGGUUCGAGAUACGCUUUAUUACUACAAAAAUACCAUUGAAGUUGGCAUCCAUAGGAAAAUAUCCAUGCCAGUUCCAAGGCUGGAAUAAUUAUUUUUCCAAAGAAAGUAUGCCUAAACAGUAAGAUUAGCAAGCCCAGCACAAUACCAAUAUACACAUUCUAGAGAAAACUCUUUACCCUGCUUCAUUCUGGAUCACGUCAUCAUCAUUUUUGAUAAAUACUCCAUUUAAUGUAAAAGAAAAAGACAGUGGAUAAUUUUUUUUGAGACCAGGUCUUGCUCUGUGGCCCAGUGUAGUGGCCUGAUCACAGGUCACUGCGAUCACAGGCUCAAGUGAUCCUCCAUCCUCAGCCUCCUGAGUAGUUGCUGGGACCACAGGCGCAAGCCACCGCACCCAGAUAAUUUUUAAAAGUUUUUAUUGUAGAGAUAAGGUCUCCUUACAUUGCCUAGGCUAUAAAUUUUAAAUCUGGAAGAGAUGAGGUCUGCUUAGAGAAGUGAUUGGCUUCUAAACACAAGCAGUAUUAAGAGGACACCUUCUAGAAGGAAUAAACUAACCCAGAAGAAGUAGCGAGAAUAAUAGUAUUUACAGGACAACCUCCAAAGCAAUGCCCAAAGUACCCAAAAUCAGGGAUCAAUUUACAAGUUUUGGGAAAGACUUUAAAGUAAUCUACAUUAGCCAGAACUAGGUACUUGCUUGGAUUCCUUCUACUAGACUUCUUGACCCAGAGUGGAGUAUUCACUGCCUCCUGGGUCAAUCCUUCUUUGCAAGCAUGAAUUGAAAUUAUGGUGUGGUGGAUUAAUUGCAAUAAAUGUCCAGUUUUUUCAUAGAUUCCUUUCUUGGUGCCCUGCCAUACUGAUUCUGGGCUUAGCCAUGUGACUUCUUUCAGCAGAUGGAACAGAAGCAAUUGUGACUCCAGCAGAGACUUGAAGAGCACUUGCACAUUGAAGAGUGUUCUCUUACUGCUCUUGGAUCCUGUCACCAUGUGAACAAGCCCAGGCUAGCCUACUAGAGAAUGAAAGACACACCACCAGUGACCCCCCACUUUCCCCAGUAUGCAAGUGAGGUCAUACAGAACCAGAACCAGCCAGGCCCCAGCUGACCCAUCAGCUAACCACAGACACAUGAGCAAACCCCGUUAAGCCCAGGCUAGGCCAGAAGAACCAUCCCCAUAAAACUGAGCUAAAUAAAUGGCUGUUACUUUAAACCAAUA
Molecule: long non-coding RNA, 2656 nt
Filed under: Homo sapiens (human)
Lineage: Eukaryota; Metazoa; Chordata; Mammalia; Primates; Hominidae
Description: HSALNT0052835
Source: RNAcentral